UACGUAGGGUGCGAGCGUUAAUCGGAAUUACUGGGCGUAAAGCGUGCGCAGGCGGUUCGUUGUGUCUGAUGUGAAAGCCCCGGGCUUAACCUGGGAAUGGCAUUGGAAACUGGCGAGCUGGAGUGUGGCAGAGGGAGGUAGAAUUCCACGUGUAGCGGUGAAAUGCGUAGAUAUGUGGAGGAAUACCGAUGGCGAAGGCAGCCUCCUGGGCCAACACUGACGCUCAUGCACGAAAGCGUGGGGAGCAAACAGG
Molecule: ribosomal RNA, 253 nt
Filed under: uncultured bacterium
Lineage: Bacteria
Description: partial 16S ribosomal RNA
Rfam family: Bacterial small subunit ribosomal RNA
Source: RNAcentral